Molecule: long non-coding RNA, 1258 nt
Organism: Helianthus annuus (common sunflower)
Lineage: Eukaryota; Viridiplantae; Streptophyta; Magnoliopsida; Asterales; Asteraceae
Exons: 3
Source: RefSeq, a predicted model, not a curated record
ACAGCUCUUAUGCAGGUAUUUCCUUACUCGUUUUUUUUUUUUUUAUGCAACGUUUCAUCCCCGUCAUCAAUCCGGCCACCGAUCGUCAACGGUAUUCAUUCUAGAUCUACCUCACUUCACUCUACACGCACACUUUUAUCUAUUGUUUUCAGUACUUCAAUGGAUUACGAUAUUGAACAAUAAUAAUUAUACUAAGUUUCAGUUUAAGGCGUUCUUCAUGACUUUACAAUUUCAGUUAUGUGUAGCUGUUAAUUCUGAUUUCAAUUAUCUUAAGGUGAACUUUUUUUGUUUGCGGCUUUAAAUCGGUGACUCCAAGUUGUCUUUAUGGUUAGGGAUGGAAGUUCAUAUUGCUGAUACUCUGCUUCAUUGCCUUUUGAAGUUCUAAUCUUUUCUAACUCAUUUUUGGUCUUCUCUGCUUCAUCCACAAAUUCAGGGAUUGAUGUUUCAAAUUAAGGUGUUGUGUUUCCUUUAGCGAAUUUCAUUUGGAUUGGUUGUAAUUUUACUUUUCUUCUCACUAAAAAAAAGAUGUACAUAGGCACCAGCUUGUACACGUAAAGAACUAUCACUAUCGAGUUUCUUGAAUUAAUGUGCUAAGUUAUUGUUGUUUAUUUGGAUGGUCUGAGGUUAAGUACUCUUUAAGGAACCAGAAAGCCCCACCAAAUGUGAGUUUUGAGUAUAUUUUUUUUUUAUAUUUGAAAAUUGAACAUGCGACUUUCAGAUUGGAAGUAUAUACAUAUCAUAGAAGUUGCACUUUCAGAGUUGAAAUGUUCGUUUGCAUCGUAAUUAGGUGUUGAAUGAGUACUUUGGAGUGGGAUUGUAUAACUUGGUUUGUAUAGCUUUUAGGAAAACUAAAACUAAUCAGCCCAUUUUGCAUUAAUGUGCAUUUUCCAGCUUGCAAAGCUAGGAGAUCGAAUCUCAAGUGAGCUUUAAGAUUCUGAUCCACCAUCAAAAAGGUUAGGCUAAGACGGAUUCAUGGAGUAAAGCUUGAUUUGCUGAAGCCUUCUCUUUUGUCCACUUAGUAGUCUUGAACUAAAAUCGCCUAAUGCAUUCCUUUUGUACAAAUCAUCCUUCAAGCAACAACACAUCAUCGACUCCCUACUAAAUACGUAUAUAAGCAGCUUUAUGGAUUAACUAGGAAAACUUGUAACUAAUGUUAAAGUUUAUGCUAAUGUCAACGCCAUGUAUGCCUAGCCAUGCCAAUUUUUGUUAGCUGCAUCUAUAAAAAGCUACAUGCUUACUUAAUCACAAGUUGUUAUUA